This 680-nucleotide ribosomal RNA is filed under the name uncultured bacterium. RNAcentral's name for it is "bacterial SSU rRNA". It matches the Rfam family "Bacterial small subunit ribosomal RNA", at positions 44 to 715 of the family's 1533-position model. The record is from RNAcentral.
AUGCUUAACACAUGCAAGUCGAACGGUAACAGAGAUAGCUUGCUAUCUGCUGACGAGCGGCGGACGGGUGAGUAAUGCUUGGGAAUAUGCCUUUGAGUGGGGGACAACAGUUGGAAACGACUGCUAAUACCGCAUAAUGUCUACGGACCAAAGGGGGGGAUCUUCGGACCUCUCGCUCAUAGAUUAGCCCAAGUGAGAUUAGCUAGUUGGUAAGGUAAUGGCUUACCAAGGCGACGAUCUCUAGCUGGUUUGAGAGGAUGAUCAGCCACACUGGGACUGAGACACGGCCCAGACUCCUACGGGAGGCAGCAGUGGGGAAUAUUGCACAAUGGGCGAAAGCCUGAUGCAGCCAUGCCGCGUGUGUGAAGAAGGCCUUCGGGUUGUAAAGCACUUUCAGCGAGGAGGAAAGGGAUGUAGUUAAUAACUGCAUUCUGUGACGUUACUCGCAGAAGAAGCACCGGCUAACUUCGUGCCAGCAGCCGCGGUAAUACGAGGGGUGCAAGCGUUAAUCGGAAUUACUGGGCGUAAAGCGUGCGUAGGUGGUUUGUUAAGCAAGAUGUGAAAGCCCCGGGCUCAACCUGGGAACUGCAUUUUGAACUGGCAAGCUAGAGUAUUGUAGAGGGUAGUGGAAUUUCCAGUGUAGCGGUGAAAUGCGUAGAGAUCGGAAGGAACACCAGUGG